CAGUCGCCACGGGAAUACGUAGGGUGCAAGCGUUAAUCGGAAUUACUGGGCGUAAAGCGUGCGCAGGCGGUUAUAUAAGUCAGAUGUGAAAUCCCCGAGCUUAACUUGGGAACUGCAUUUGAAACUGGCAAGCUAGAGUCUUGUAGAGGGGGGUAGAAUUCCAGGUGUAGCGGUGAAAUGCGUAGAGAUCUGGAGGAAUACCGGUGGCGAAGGCGGCCCCCUGGACAAAGACUGACGCUCAGGUGCGAAAGCGUGGGGAGCAAACAGGAUUAGAUACCCGAGUAGUCCCUGUCUCUUAUAA
Molecule: ribosomal RNA, 301 nt
Filed under: uncultured bacterium
Lineage: Bacteria
Description: partial 16S ribosomal RNA
Rfam family: Bacterial small subunit ribosomal RNA
Source: RNAcentral